GACAGAGGUGCCAAGCGUUAGGCGGAAUCACUGGGCUUAAAGCGUGUGUAGGCGGAUUGGUAAGUACCUUGUGAAAUCCCACAGCUUAACUGUGGAACUGCUCGGUAUACUGCUGAUCUUGAGCCACUCAGGGGCUACCGGAACAAAUGGUGGAGCGGUGAAAUGCGUAGAUAUCAUUUGGAACGCCAAUGGUGAAAACAGGUAGCUGGGGGUGUGCUGACGCUGAGACACGAAAGCCAGGGGAGCAAACGGG
This 253-nucleotide ribosomal RNA is filed under the name uncultured bacterium. RNAcentral describes it as "partial 16S ribosomal RNA". It matches the Rfam family "Bacterial small subunit ribosomal RNA", at positions 524 to 776 of the family's 1533-position model. The record is from RNAcentral.